RNAcentral lists this ribosomal RNA (253 nucleotides) under uncultured bacterium. RNAcentral's name for it is "partial 16S ribosomal RNA". It matches the Rfam family "Bacterial small subunit ribosomal RNA", at positions 524 to 776 of the family's 1533-position model. The record is from RNAcentral.
UACGGGGGGGGUAAGCGUUGUUCGGAAUUACUGGGCGUAAAGGGCUCGUAGGCGGCCAACUAAGUCAUACGUGAAAUCCCUCAGCUUAACUGGGGAACUGCGUGUGAUACUGGAUGGCUUGGAUUUGGGAGAGGGAUGCGGAAUUCCAGGUGUAGCGGUGAAAUGCGUAGAUAUGACAUAGAACACCAAUUGCGAAGGCAGCUGGCUACGCAUAUAUUGACACUGAGGCACGAAAGCGUGGGGAUCAAACAGG